UGACCAAUGGGAUAUACAAAAGUGUUGUCCACCGAGCAACAGUUAACUCAGAAAAAAAGCGCAUUUCAAUUGUCAGCCUUCAUAGUCUAACUUUAGGUAAAAAAGUUAGACCUGCAUCAGCUCUUGUUAACGAACAAAAUAUCUUGUCCUACAAAGAAGGAGGCUUCAGUGAUUUCCUUGACUUCAUUUCGGGAGAAGAUAUUGUGGAAGCAAAGUACAUAGACACAUUAAAAAUAAAUACAUGAUGAUUAUAGUACAUGGACAACAGAGCAGGCAAUACUGGAAUUCUCAUUUUUACACUCUUCAAACUCCAUUUUGUAUGAUCCGUGUUUUACAGUAGCCAGAUUUUCUAUGUACUUUGUUCGAAUUUUGCUGGUGAGAUUUUUUUAUUUUUGCUUUUUAUUUUAUUUUGUUGAGAAAAAAAUAAGAGCUCUUCCUUCAUACUAGGAGGCCUUGCUGUAAAAAAAAAAAAUUGAACAAACUUACCAGCCAUUUCAUCUUAACCAAGGUUUCCCUCAAGGCCACUUAUUUUGUUGCACCACCAACAAAAUAAAAAUGCAUCUUCAGGAUCCGAUGAUUUAUCUCACUUAGCUAACAUCACAACUUGGCAGAUAGAAGCCAGCAACUGGAAAGAAGUUCUAACAUUCACCACAUCAAGUCCAAUUUAAGCCAAAUGUUGGUCAUACUACAAGUUUAGAACUCGAGCCACAUUCAUCACUGGUAGACGCACCUAUUGGGAAGAUGUUCUCUCACACAAGGUAAAUUUUUAAUGGUAAAUAGACACAAGAAUUAGUUAUGACCUUAAACUAAUUAGACCAGCAAAGAACAUUAUAUUGAUUUACAGCCACAACCAUAUACAGCCAAAAUCACCUUCCAACAAUACAUUCUGCACAUAUAACACAGGAAUAGCCAGUAUAACAACUGCUCUGACAUUAAUAUUAGUAUCAUUAUUUUGUGUGUGUUCUUUUAGGUUUUCUGUGUCAGAAGUUUCCUUUGUAAGCUAACAGGGAAGCAUGGCUUCAAAACUCAAGUUCCAUGACCCUGGUAAUGCUCACGUUUGAUCUCGCUAAUGUUCAGACACCCAAACUGUUUUACCUCCAAUACUAUUUACUCAUUUCAAACCUUCUCCAAACAAUCUUGUUAUUAUCGCUAGGGAUGGCAAUAGGGCAGGGCAUAUUCGGGGUGGGGCAGGGAGUGUUGUGCGGGACAGGGCAGGGCGGGACAAAAUAUAUUUUCGAAAAAUUAUAAUGAAGGCAGGGAAAGUGGUAGGGCAAGGGGUUUCAGAUGCAAAUUGAAAAUUUCUCAACCUUAUUUCAGUGUCGACAAUGGGAUUGUUGUUGUCAACGUACUAAUGAAAUAUCAAUUGUUGGGUGCUGGCAACGUUUAAAAUAAGAUUUCAUACUAAAGGAAUAUCAAUAACUUCUUUUUUAUUUAAAUAAGAUCAAUAUGGGACAACUGUUUUACUAUUACUUGAAAUCAAAUUAUUUCAAUUACAAAAAUAUUGAAAUAAAAAUAUUGUAAAUUUUCCCUGCUACUAAUUCCAAAAGUAAGCACUCGCAAAAGCCAAAACAACAUAGAAACUAAGUUUGUGUUGUAUCAUUUUAUACUCCCUCCGUUCACUUUUACUUGUCCACUAUUCCUAAGAAUAAAUUUUACUUUUAACAUAUCAAGAAAAGAUAAUUAUUUUUUUCUAUGUUUUACCCUUAGCAUUAAUUACUUAUUUGCCGAAUCAUUUUUCAAGACCUAAUACUAAACAUCAAUUAAUAAGGGUAUUAUAGUAAGAUACUCAUAUAAAUAAUUGUUUCUUAAGGGGUUUGGCGUGUAAAUCCAAAGUGGAGAAGUAAAAGUGAACGGGAGGAGUAUUUGGAAGACCAAAAAGACAAAAAGUAUAUCUCUCUCGCUCAUACUUAAUACAGUAGUGACGCAUUAGUUCGGGUAAUGGAGACAGCAGCAUAGGAGGGGUUUUCAGGAACUCUGAUGGUCAUUGGAUACUAGGCUAUUGUAUGCAUAUUCCCAAUACUACAAUCACUGAAGCUGAACUAAAGGGUCCAGACUAUGCUUAUAUGCAUAUGAAUCUACAUCCACUUCAAGUGGAAAUUGACGCACAAGAGGUGAUCACCUUGCUCUCAUCAUCCAAGGCAAAAUAUGCUAAUAUUUUGUCUGACUGCAGGUCCGUACUCCGACAGUUACAUGAUCCAGUCGUCACUCACAUAUACAGGGAGCAGCACAAGGCAGCAGAUAGUGUAGCUAAAUAUGGAGCAAACAAAACAUUGACUGCUAUGACACUUUUUGAUAGCCCACCUCUUUUUGCUGAAUCAAUGGUUGAAGCAGAUAGACUAGGCAUCACCUUUUGUCGACGUACAACUUUUUGUAACUUACCAACUGAUAGUUUAACUAGUGAGGCAUGUAGUUCAUCUAACCCUACAAUGCCCUGUCCUGUCCUGCCCCGAGCCUCCCUAUUGAUAUUCCUAGUUAUCGCAAACCAAGGAAGGCAAAUGCAUCUCAAUUUCUAUAAUUAAGUUGGUUAUUUUACAUAGAAUUGAUUUCUUAUUGCACUAAAUGGCUGCAAAGUGCAAUCUGUCACCUCUGUUAAUCAGAUAACUUGGGAGACUUACUAUGUUAAUUAUCUCCAUGCAUCAUCAGAAUCAGAAUUAGUAGUAGCAUUCAUUUAAAGACUAUUAAACAAAAUUAUCCCAACUUAUUUCUAAUUCCUUCAGCAAUUGAAGCCAUAUUUUUAGAAAUUCAGCUUAUGGCGCAAUGCUAAGUAUUUAACGACUAUUACACAAAAUCAUCCCAACUUAUUCAGUAACUAUUACAUAAUUUAGUUACUAAACCAAAAUCAGCGACUUGAAGUUACUCGAUUCCUCUCAUGAUGGUCAAAACUUGCGCAAAAUAUAUGAAUAUCAUCAAAUAAAUUGUAGUUUUACAUGAUUCUCACUAUAUCUAAUAAAGACUUUAUUUGCACACAAAAAUUGGAGGAAAAAAUCAACAUAUUCGAGGCAAAAACACUUACGAAGGAAAGUGAAAAAUUGAUUCAGAAAAUUAAACUCUGCAUUUUCUUUUACGUCUCUGAUCUUCUCUGCCCCUACUGCUUUGCUUCUUCUCCAUUGAAGUUUCUGGUUUUCAAUUUUCAUUGGAAGGGGGCUUGGCUUUCAAACGGAUUAAUUUCCUGCUCCGCCGGUUUUACC
Molecule: long non-coding RNA, 3188 nt
Filed under: Solanum tuberosum (potato)
Lineage: Eukaryota; Viridiplantae; Streptophyta; Magnoliopsida; Solanales; Solanaceae
Description: long non-coding RNA (STUB_LNC002151)
Source: RNAcentral